AGGAGUGCUUGCUCUCGGGUGACGAGUGGCGGACGGGUGAGUAAUGUCUGGGAAACUGCCUGAUGGAGGGGGAUAACUACUGGAAACGGUAGCUAAUACCGCAUAACGUCGCAAGACCAAAGAGGGGGACCUUCGGGCCUCUUGCCAUCAGAUGUGCCCAGAUGGGAUUAGCUAGUAGGUGGGGUAACGGCUCACCUAGGCGACGAUCCCUAGCUGGUCUGAGAGGAUGACCAGCCACACUGGAACUGAGACACGGUCCAGACUCCUACGGGAGGCAGCAGUGGGGAAUAUUGCACAAUGGGCGCAAGCCUGAUGCAGCCAUGCCGCGUGUAUGAAGAAGGCCUUCGGGUUGUAAAGUACUUUCAGCGGGGAAGAAGGUGUUGUGGUUAAUAACCACAGCAAUUGACGUUUACCCGCAGAAGAAGCCACCGGCUAACUCCGUGCCAGCAGCCGCGGUAAUACGAAGGUGCAGCGUUAUCCGAAUUACUGGGCUUAACGCACGCAGCGUCUGUCAGUCGAUUUAAUCCCGGCUCACUGGACUGCUCAAACUGCAGCUAAUCUGUAAGGGUUAAUCAGUU
This 578-nucleotide ribosomal RNA is filed under the name Pantoea agglomerans. RNAcentral's name for it is "bacterial SSU rRNA". It matches the Rfam family "Bacterial small subunit ribosomal RNA", at positions 72 to 662 of the family's 1533-position model. The record is from RNAcentral. Lineage: Bacteria; Pseudomonadati; Pseudomonadota; Gammaproteobacteria; Enterobacterales; Erwiniaceae.